CCUACGGGAGGCAGCAGUGGGGAAUAUUGCACAAUGGGGGAAACCCUGAUGCAGCGACGCCGCGUGGGCGAGGAAGUACCUCGGUAUGUAAAGCCCUAUCAGCAGGGAAGAAACAGGACAGUACCUGACUAAGAAGCCCCGGCUAACUACGUGCCAGCAGCCGCGGUAAUACGUAGGGGGCAAGCGUUAUCCGGAUUCACUGGGCGGAAAGGGAGCGCAGGCGGCAUGGCAAGUCUGAUGUGAAAACCCGGGGCCCAACCCCGGGAGUGCAUUGGAAACUGCAUGGCUGGAGUGCGGGAGGGGCAGGCGGAAUUCCUGGUGUAGCGGUGAAAUGCGUAGAUAUCAGGAGGAACACCGGCGGCGAAGGCGGCCUGCUGGACCGCGACUGACGUUGAGGCUCGAAAGCGUGGGGAGCGAACAGGAUUAGAUACCCUGGUAGUC
Molecule: ribosomal RNA, 441 nt
Filed under: uncultured bacterium
Lineage: Bacteria
Description: partial 16S ribosomal RNA
Rfam family: Bacterial small subunit ribosomal RNA
Source: RNAcentral